Molecule: non-coding RNA, 5378 nt
Organism: Podarcis lilfordi (Lilford's wall lizard)
Lineage: Eukaryota; Metazoa; Chordata; Lepidosauria; Squamata; Lacertidae
Source: the annotation of a GenBank genome assembly
GGCCGGGCGUUUCUUCUUCCGCGUUGCCACCUCUCUUCUUCGGGGAGCGCCCGCUAAUUAAAGCGCUCGGCUCGGCUUUGCCCGGCGGCUCCUCCUCCUCCCUGCCUGCCUGCCUGCGUCCCUCGCUGCCUCUUCCCCCGACGCGCGAAGAAGGGGACGCGGGCGCAGCUCCAGGUGGCUUCCGAGACGCCGCGGCGAAGUGGGAGCGGAGAGCGAGAGAGACGUCGAGUGCUGAGGUAAACAGAUUCAAAGCCAAUUAUCCCGAGCAGCCUCCCGGCCUCCCCGCUUUGGGGGAAGGAAACGCCGCCAAUGACAAGCUCGCGCGCUGGCAGGGACUGGCGGGCCGGGGCACGUGAAUUUACAGGGAUGGAAAAGCCCGCCCGUCUCGCAGAGUUCACUUGGGCUAACUAGGGAGAGCGUCAGCGCAGGACUUUGGGGCCACAAGUCCGCAGCAGUGCCGGAUUUACAUAUAAGCUAAACACGCUAUAGCUUAGGGCCCCACUCUCUUGGGGGCCCCCAAAAAAAAUUAAAGCAAAAAACAACAACUGGAUGUACAUGUCCAAAAUAUAAGAUAAAAAAACAAAUAAAAGAAAACCUACAUACAGCAACAGUGUUUUGUGUUGUGUAGGCUCCUAUUUGUUAUGUGCAAAAUGGCUUUAGAUACCUAUUAGGUCCAUAAAUUACUACAUAGCAUAUAUUCAACACGAAAAACAGCGACAAUUUGCUGUUGACAAAGGACAGCUGGACAUAUAAAGGGCCCCAUUACCUUCGGGAGCUUAGGGCCUCAUCAAACCUAAAUCCGGCCCUGGUCCGCAGCCUCACUCCUGAGGGACCCAAAACGUUGUAGGUCACGUUCUGAAGUGACUUGAAGGAACACAUCCUUAACAUCUGAAAAAGCCCAAUUGCGUCCAGAGUUUAAAAGUACCUAACUGCGCCACUGCCGGUACUUCUGCAGAGGAUUGGUAUACCUUGCUUGGUAUGUGUGGUGCUGGGGUUGGCAUCAUAGAAUGUCAGAGCUGGAAGGGACCGCAAGGGUCAUCCAGCCCAACCCUCUUGCAAUGCAAGGAUCUUUUUGCCCAACCCCCACGACCCUGAGAUUAAACGUCUCAUGCUUUGCUGGCUGAGGCAGUCGCGCAGUGCCCUUGGCUUUGCACAGGGGUGGUACUGGAGGGAUAACCUGAGUUCAAAUCCCAGCACUGUUGUAAAAUCUGCUGGUGACCUUGAACCCGUCACUCUCUGACUCUCUCCCAGAGUUGUGAGGAUGAAGGAGGUGGAGUGGGGACCUUGAAAACUAUUUUGACCUCUUUGGAGGAAAUCCUACAUUGGACCUGCCUUAGCUGCAUCCGAAAUGUGAGCGAGCAGUGGAAGGCUGUCCGCUGAGGUCAGAGAUUGUGUAUAGAGAAAUCCAGAGAGCAGCGUAAAGAGCAGCUAGAAGCAACGCCCUUUUAUUUAUUAUUAGGGGCUCCUUGCAAAGAUAGCAGGAAGGUGAAUAUUGGAUGAGUGAAGACAUAAAAUGCAAACUAAGGGCCAGUUCACAUAGAUAUGGUUAUUCUUCAUUACUGCAGCAUCAAAUGAAGACUUGUUCAUGUGAAUGAGCCACAUAGAAUUUUCACAUCAGUUGCUCUGCAUUUUUAUGGAGUUGGUUCUCACUUUCAGCUGCAAAUCAUCCUGGUGAGUAAUCAAAGGAUGUUCAUGAAUGCUUGAACCACUGACUCAAUGACUGCAGUUCUUUUUGGCUGGGUUGGGAUGUGGAGGCAUUUCCAGGUGAAGGCUUUUGCUGACACCCAGCCGGCUGGAUGUGGGUGUCCAAGCACAUACCGUAAAUCAACCCCAGUGCUACUGACUUCCUUGUCCCAAUGCUACAAUUAGCAGGGUCCGUGUUUGUGGCAAAGUCCAGACAAGAUUUUUUUGUAUCUUUUCUCUAGGCCCUGUUUCCCCACUUCAGAUUUUGCACUCAAGUCUGCAGCCAGCACUGCACUCCUAUUAUUAAGAGUGCUUCCUUCACUUCAUUUUAGUUUUGUAUCCUUCUACUGAAUAUACAGAGGUAAUGCAGAAAUGAGGUAAAAUUCACCAAAGAUGCCAGUUUAGUAAUAAAGAGGGCAAUCUAUCCCUAUGAUCUGCCUCCUUCCUGAAUCAAAGAUGUUGGAUCUUCUCUUUAUACUUUGGACUUUAAGGAGGCUGGUUUCAAAAAGCUUAAGGAGUUAGUGGAUGAGAUCCUAUACUCAGAAAUACUCAAAAGAGAAGGGAGUCCAAGAUGGAUGGGAGUUUCUUAAAGGUGAAUUAUUGAAGGCUCAAAUGCAGACAAUUCCAACAAGAAACAGAAGUGGAAGGCAUCUAAAUAAAGUGGUGUGGUUGCUUAAGGAGCUUGCAUAUGAGCUCAGAUGUAAGAGGGGCAUGUAGAAGAAAUGGGAGAAAGGGAAAAUCACGAAGGAAGAGUAUACACAAGUAGCCAACAGUUUCAGGAAGGUCAGGUGGGCCACUCAGAAUGAGUUCAGGCUUGCAAGAGAGGUUAAAAAUAAAGUUAAAAGGAUUCUUUGGCUAUGUUCAAAAGCAAGAACAAGUGGUCCUCUGCAUGGAGAAGAUGGAGAAAUGCUGUUGGGGGACAAAGGGAACUGCUCAACACCUACUUUGCCUCUGUUUUUACCCAAAAGGAAAGCAGUGACCAACCUGGUGAUAACAGAAUAAUGCAAAGAGGGAGCUGCAGCCAAAGUCAGGAAAAGAGGUGGUAAGUGAACACCUAGCUACUUCAAAUGAAUUCAGAUCUCCAGGGCCUGAUGAGCUGUAUCCAAGGGUACUAAAGGAGCUUGCAGAUGUAAUCUCAAAGCCUCUGUCUAUAUUCUUUGAGAAUUCUUGGAGAACAGGUGAGGUCCCUGCAGACAGGAGGUGGGCAAAAAGGGGGGGGGGACCCGCUACCGGCAGGUCAGUACCAUUCUAUGAUUCUAUGAAUUUGUGCAAAUGUACCUGUUCACUCCUAUGUCUCCUGCCCAACCCCAAAAGAAGAAGGAAGCAGCUGGGGGGGGAUCAUGCAGUAGCUGGACUGACAGUUCAUAAAUAAUCUGGUUUAGCUUCUAUUGAAGGGAAAUUAGUGAAAGGGUGAAAAUGAUAAAUGUACGCACAAGUACACAAACACAUCUGAGCAGAUCCCUAAAUUGAAAUCGCAUGCAUGCUCACACACAGUGAUGAUUACAAUCCCUUCCUUGGUAUCUGCAAAAAUCCAUCCUCUUUGCUAAUUUUUUUUUAAAAAACAGAUACUAUUCACUUCACUUAGUUUAAGUGCCCGUAACACAAAUGCAAAGCAUACAAUGGCUAGAAUGUACAUUCAUUUUUAAAAUGGUUCUCUCCCCCCGUAUUCCACAUUAAUAACAUUCACAAAUGACAUAUUCCAGACUGGAAGCCAUUUUUAGCAUCAGUUGUGAGAACACCCUAAGCCUAUUGGGCAGGCAUGCAGAUGGAAGGGCCUCCCUGGGGGCUGUCAGAAAAGAAAUUAUAUUGUGACAGAGGGAAUCCAUGUUGCUUAUCACUGUACAAAAUUCAGCAGAGCACUGUGCAGGGAGAAACAAUCUUUACACAUAUUUGCUCAAGUCUUUGGGGGCUUGUUUUGCAAACUGUGCAGACCACCUUCCCUGCCAUCCCAAUCCUGCAUAAGCUGAAUGAAUGUGCUUGUGGCAAACUGGUCAUGUGCAUUGGCCUGGCACAAGCACAAAUCGCUGGCGUGCUCACAAUGAGCUAUGUGGAUUUUUUCCCACAGCUUAUCGAUGGCAUGCUGUCAGUUUGUGCUUAUGGAGGUCUGAUGCACAUGACCAGUUUGCCAUGCGCAUGUUCCAUUCGUGCUAGGAGAAAACAGUGGCUGCACAGAUUGAAUUAAGCCAUAACCAUGGCCAUAUAAAUUGCCCUUUAGUUUAACAAGCACUGAGUCACAGCAGAAUCAAAGCAUUGUGAGGCUGCAAGUGAUCCCAGGUCAUCUGUCCAAUCCACUACAUGGAGGUGAGAUAUACUGCUGUCUGUCACAUUGACUUAAUAUAUCCCUGACCAUUGCUGUCCCUGCUCAGCCUCCAGUGAAGGACAAACUGUGCCAGCGUGGAUAGUGUUAAACUUUGAACAGGAAGAUCAGAGUUCAGAUCCCGAUUCUGCCAUUAAGUUUGCUGAGUAGUCAUAGUAGUCUGCAUGUCAUGCUUGAUUACAGGCAGGAGUUCACCAGGACCUCCCCCCACCCACUCACCCCCAUUCUUGCAGCUACAUCCGAGCAAUGGGAAUUUGUGUGUGCAUUGCAACAGGCAGGCCCUGACAGAGCAUAUUGUCAAAAUUUGAUUAAGGAAGAGCUCUUUCACAUAAUGCAUAGUUAAAUCAUGGAAUUUGCCACCACGAGUUAUACUGAUGGCAUCUAUCACUACAUCUUUUGGUAAUGAAUUUCAUAGUUUAAAAGGGAAUUACACACAUUCACAGAGGAUAAGGUUGUCAACGGCUGCUAGUCACAAAGGCUAGAUAUAUAUUGCCUCCAGUAUCAGCAGCAAUAUGCUUCUGAAUGCUAGUUCCUGUGAAGAAAUCAGAGGCAAGUUCUUCCAUUUUCAGCUAACCACAUUGGGUGGAAUUCAGGGUCAUGCUCAGUGGGAUAUGGGUGCACAGAAUGAAGUCCAUUCACAAAGUGAGAUUUGCUCCCCCUGUGUACCUCCUAAAUCUGUUCUUGGUGUUUCCCCAACCCCACCUCCCCAGAACAGAUUUAGGGGGUGAGGGAGGGGAGGAAGGGAAGCGCCAUUGCAUGACUAGACUUCAAUCUGUGCACACAGUAAUUGUCAUGGACUGGUUGGACACAGAGGAAUGGUGAGAGGAGCCAGCUGGGGAACACCCAAGGGAAGAAGGUUCAGAGCCCUGUGAGUGGUGGUGGGACAGCGAUAAAUGGUCAGAAGGAGAAAAGGGAGAAGACUGGGAAGAGGAGGGUUCAGAAGCUGAAGAGAUAGCAGGGCUUGGGAGAGUGAGUUGGGAGAGUCGGUGGCAGAGAUAAGUCCAGAAUCAGAGGCAGAUGCUGAAGCAAGAGAGUGGAAGGAGGGAGGCCAAGAGGCAAGAGGAAGAGAUGAGUCAGGCUAGUAUCACAGAUGUCUCCCCCUCCUGCUGUAAGAAGCUCCCUUCCCCCCUGUCUCCCAGAACAAGAAGAGGGCUGAAAAGAGCAGAACAAUGAUAGGCUGCAUGAAGGCGUGGUCUCUGACUGCUUGGGAAAAGCCCUGGAGAGGAGGAGACACAAGCUGUGGGAAGGCAGGGACUUUCAGCAUCGGCAACUGAUUUCAUGGAGUAAGACCCACAGGGAAUGAGCUGUUGUGUUCAUUAGGUGUGAUGCUCAGCCAAGUCUGCCAAGAUCAUGGUUUUGCUAAUAAAGAGUUAACUCC